GAAGGUGAUGCCUGCCCGGUGACCUGAGGUUUAACGGCCGCGGUAUCCUAACCGUGCAAAGGUAGCGCAAUCAAUUGUCCCAUAAAUCGAGACCAGUAUGAAUGGCUAAACGAGGUCUUAACUGUCUCUUGCAGGCAAUCGGUGAAAUUGAUCUCCCUGUGCAAAAGCAGGGAUAAACCCAUAAGACGAGAAGACCCUGUGGAACUUUAAAAACAGCGGCCACCCCAAUUUACAUACACACCCACCGGGCUCCCUUAUACAUAAGCCACUGGCUCGCAUUUUUUCGGUUGGGGCGACCUUGGAGAAAAACAAAUCCUCCAAAAAUUAGACCUUAACUCUAGACCGAGAGCAACCCCUCAACGUGCUAACAGCACCCAGACCCAAUAUAAUUGAUCAAUGGACCAAGCUACCCCAGGGAUAACAGCGCAAUCUCCUUUAAGAGUCCAUAUCGACAAGGAGGUUUACGACCUCGAUGUUGGAUCAGGACAUCCUAGUGGUGCAGAAGCUGCUAAGGGUUCGUUUGUUCAACGAUUAACAGUCCU
Molecule: ribosomal RNA, 542 nt
Filed under: Monticola solitarius (blue rock thrush)
Lineage: Eukaryota; Metazoa; Chordata; Aves; Passeriformes; Muscicapidae
Description: partial 16S ribosomal RNA
Rfam family: Bacterial large subunit ribosomal RNA
Source: RNAcentral